RNAcentral lists this transfer RNA (85 nucleotides) under Clostridiaceae bacterium. RNAcentral's name for it is "tRNA-Tyr". It matches the Rfam family "tRNA". Rfam says of the family: Transfer RNA (tRNA) molecules are approximately 80 nucleotides in length. Their secondary structure includes four short double-helical elements and three loops (D, anti-codon, and T loops). RNAcentral also lists the same sequence under 3 other names. The record is from RNAcentral. Lineage: Bacteria; Bacillati; Bacillota; Clostridia; Eubacteriales; Clostridiaceae.
GGAGGAGUUCCCGAGUGGCCAAAGGGGGCAGACUGUAAAUCUGUUGUCACAGACUUCAGUGGUUCAAAUCCACUCUCCUCCACCA